UACGUAGGGGGCAAGCGUUAUCCGGAAUCACUGGGCGUAAAGGGUGCGUAGGCGGCUAAUCAAGCCAGGGGUGAAAGGCUACGGCUUAACCGUAGUAAGCCUUUGGAACUGAAUAGCUUGAGUGCAGGAGAGGAGAGUGGAAUUCCUAGUGUAGCGGUGAAAUGCGUAGAUAUUAGGAGGAACACCAGUGGCGAAGGCGACUCUCUGGACUGUAACUGACGCUGAGGCACGAAAGCGUGGGGAGCAAACAGG
This 252-nucleotide non-coding RNA is filed under the name uncultured bacterium. RNAcentral describes it as "partial 16S ribosomal RNA". It matches the Rfam family "Bacterial small subunit ribosomal RNA", at positions 524 to 776 of the family's 1533-position model. The record is from RNAcentral. RNAcentral also lists the same sequence under 2 other names.